RNAcentral lists this ribosomal RNA (253 nucleotides) under uncultured bacterium. RNAcentral's name for it is "partial 16S ribosomal RNA". It matches the Rfam family "Bacterial small subunit ribosomal RNA", at positions 524 to 776 of the family's 1533-position model. The record is from RNAcentral.
UACGUAGGGUGCAAGCGUUAAUCGGAAUUACUGGGCGUAGAGCGUGCGCAGGCGGCUUUGCAAGACAGAUGUGAAAUCCCCGGGCUUAACCUGGGAACUGCAUUUGUGACUGCAAGGCUAGAGUACGGUAGAGGGGGAUGGAAUUCCGCGUGUAGCAGUGAAAUGCGUAGAUAUGCGGAGGAACACCGAUGGCGAAGGCAAUCCCCUGGACCUGUACUGACGCUCAUGCACGAAAGCGUGGGGAGCAAACAGG